Molecule: unclassified non-coding RNA, 181 nt
Filed under: fungal sp.
Lineage: Eukaryota; Fungi
Description: partial internal transcribed spacer region
Rfam family: Eukaryotic small subunit ribosomal RNA (bases 1-46)
Source: RNAcentral
AAGUCGUAACAAGGUUUCCGUAGGUGAACCUGCGGAAGGAUCAUCAGUGUAUCUGGUUAUCUCACCCUUUGUGCCGUGUCCUUGCGGUGGGUUCGCCGCAUGUUUAUUUGCAACGCCUGAGCCUGAUCUGUCGAUUUUAAGAACACACACACAACUUUUAACAACGGAUCUCUUGGUUCUC